RNAcentral lists this long non-coding RNA (426 nucleotides) under Heterocephalus glaber (naked mole-rat). RNAcentral describes it as "lncRNA (ENSHGLG00100046193.1)". Lineage: Eukaryota; Metazoa; Chordata; Mammalia; Rodentia; Bathyergidae. The record is from RNAcentral.
GUGGAUUUGCAGCAGAAACACCCUGCUAAAGAACAAGUAUCUUGAUUCACAGCAAAGAAGACAAAGAAAAACAGCAAGUUCUAGGGGGUUGAAUCCUGGAUUGACAGACCAUAUACUAUGAACUUGGUGAACUAGGAAAUUUCACACAAUAUGUGAGUAUGUCAGGCAAUCACUUGAAGGCCUUGAUUAAAACUGACUGACCUCCUGGAAGAAGAGGGAAUUCUGGCAGCAAACUGCCUUUGGACUUGAAUCGUGGCUCUGGCCUGAGUCUCCAGCCUAUUGUCCCACCCUGCAAGUUUUGAACUGGCCAACGCUCCACAAUUUAAGCAGUUAAUCAGCCCACUCUCUUUCUUCACAUCCUGUUAUCUUGGUUUCUCUGGAGAACCAUUACAAACACACAUAUAAACAGAAAAUCAUUUGGUUAAG